CAAUAGCGUAUAUUAAAGUUGUUGCGGUUAAAAAGCUCGUAGUUGGAUUUCUGCUGAGAACGACCGGUCCGCCCUCUGGGUGUGUAUCUGGCUCUUUCUUGGCAUCUUCUUGGUGAACGUUGCUGCACUUGACUGUGUGGAGCGCUACCCAGGACUUUUACUUUGAGGAAAUUAGAGUGUUUCAAGCAGGCAUACGCCUUGAAUACAUUAGCAUGGAAUAAUAAGAUAGGACCUCGGUUCUAUUUUGUUGGUUUCUAGAGCUGAGGUAAUGAUUAAUAGGGAUAGUUGGGGGCAUUCGUAUUUAACUGUCAGAGGUGAAAUUCUUGGAUUUGUUAAAGACGAACUAGUGCGAAAGCAUUUGCCAAGGAUGUUUUCAUUGA
RNAcentral lists this ribosomal RNA (380 nucleotides) under uncultured eukaryote. Its description in RNAcentral is "partial 18S ribosomal RNA". It matches the Rfam family "Eukaryotic small subunit ribosomal RNA", at positions 592 to 976 of the family's 1831-position model. The record is from RNAcentral.